CAGUCGCCACGGGAAUACGGAGGGAGCUAGCAUUGCUCGGAAUUACUGGGCGUAAAGCGCGCGUAGGCGGUUACUCAAGUCAGAGGUGAAAGCCCGGGGCUCAACCCCGGAACUGCCUUUGAUACUGGGAGUCUUGAGUUCGAGAGAGGUGAGUGGAAUUGCGAGUGUAGAAGUGAAAUUCGUAGAUAUUCGCAGGAACACCAGUGGCGAAGGCGGCUCACUGGCUCGAUACUGACGCUGAGGUGCGAAAGCGUGGGGAGCAAACAGGAUUAGAUACCCCUGUAGUCCCUGUCUCUUAUAC
RNAcentral lists this ribosomal RNA (301 nucleotides) under uncultured bacterium. Its description in RNAcentral is "partial 16S ribosomal RNA". It matches the Rfam family "Bacterial small subunit ribosomal RNA", at positions 509 to 807 of the family's 1533-position model. The record is from RNAcentral.